RNAcentral lists this ribosomal RNA (1369 nucleotides) under uncultured bacterium. RNAcentral describes it as "bacterial SSU rRNA". It matches the Rfam family "Bacterial small subunit ribosomal RNA", at positions 28 to 1381 of the family's 1533-position model. The record is from RNAcentral.
GACGAACGCUGGCGGCGUGCCUAAUACAUGCAAGUAGAACGCUGAAGAGAGGAGCUUGCUCUUCUUGGAUGAGUUGCGAACGGGUGAGUAACGCGUAGGUAACCUGCCUUGUAGCGGGGGAUAACUAUUGGAAACGAUAGCUAAUACCGCAUAACAAUGGAUGACACAUGUCAUUUAUUUGAAAGGGGCAAUUGCUCCACUACAAGAUGGACCUGCGUUGUAUUAGCUAGUAGGUGAGGUAACGGCUCACCUAGGCGACGAUACAUAGCCGACCUGAGAGGGUGAUCGGCCACACUGGGACUGAGACACGGCCCAGACUCCUACGGGAGGCAGCAGUAGGGAAUCUUCGGCAAUGGGGGCAACCCUGACCGAGCAACGCCGCGUGAGUGAAGAAGGUUUUCGGAUCGUAAAGCUCUGUUGUAAGUCAAGAACGAGUGUGAGAGUGGAAAGUUCACACUGUGACGGUAGCUUACCAGAAAGGGACGGCUAACUACGUGCCAGCAGCCGCGGUAAUACGUAGGUCCCGAGCGUUGUCCGGAUUUAUUGGGCGUAAAGCGAGCGCAGGCGGUUUGAUAAGUCUGAAGUUAAAGGCUGUGGCUCAACCAUAGUUCGCUUUGGAAACUGUCAAACUUGAGUGCAGAAGGGGAGAGUGGAAUUCCAUGUGUAGCGGUGAAAUGCGUAGAUAUAUGGAGGAACACCGGUGGCGAAAGCGGCUCUCUGGUCUGUAACUGACGCUGAGGCUCGAAAGCGUGGGGAGCGAACAGGAUUAGAUACCCUGGUAGUCCACGCCGUAAACGAUGAGUGCUAGGUGUUGGAUCCUUUCCGGGAUUCAGUGCCGCAGCUAACGCAUUAAGCACUCCGCCUGGGGAGUACGACCGCAAGGUUGAAACUCAAAGGAAUUGACGGGGGCCCGCACAAGCGGUGGAGCAUGUGGUUUAAUUCGAAGCAACGCGAAGAACCUUACCAGGUCUUGACAUCCCGAUGCUAUUUCUAGAGAUAGAAAGUUACUUCGGUACAUCGGUGACAGGUGGUGCAUGGUUGUCGUCAGCUCGUGUCGUGAGAUGUUGGGUUAAGUCCCGCAACGAGCGCAACCCCUAUUGUUAGUUGCCAUCAUUCAGUUGGGCACUCUAGCGAGACUGCCGGUAAUAAACCGGAGGAAGGUGGGGAUGACGUCAAAUCAUCAUGCCCCUUAUGACCUGGGCUACACACGUGCUACAAUGGUUGGUACAACGAGUUGCGAGUCGGUGACGGCAAGCUAAUCUCUUAAAGCCAAUCUCAGUUCGGAUUGUAGGCUGCAACUCGCCUACAUGAAGUCGGAAUCGCUAGUAAUCGCGGAUCAGCACGCCGCGGUGAAUAAGGUCCCGGGCCU